This 512-nucleotide ribosomal RNA is filed under the name Clibanarius antillensis. RNAcentral's name for it is "partial 16S ribosomal RNA". It matches the Rfam family "Bacterial large subunit ribosomal RNA", at positions 1831 to 2600 of the family's 2925-position model. The record is from RNAcentral. Lineage: Eukaryota; Metazoa; Arthropoda; Malacostraca; Decapoda; Diogenidae.
UCUCUAUGAAGAUAUAUACAGUUUGACCUGCCCACUGAAUUAUUAAAGGGCCGCGGUAUUCCUGACCGUGCGAAGGUAGCAUAAUCAUUAGUCUUUUAAUUGAAGGCUUGUAUGAAAGGUUUGACGAAAAAUGGACUGUUUCAAAUAAAAAGAUUGAAUUUAACUUUUAAGUGAAAAGGCUUAAAUAAAUUAAAAAGACGAUAAGACCCUAUAAAUCUUUACAUUUGUUAUUAUAGGUUUUGGAUUGUGUGUGUAAAAAAAAAUAUAAUAAAAAUGUUGUGUUGGGGCAACAGUGAUAUAGUAAUAUUAAUUGUUAAAAAUAAAAACAAAUAUAUUUGUUAAAUAAAGAUCCUUUUUAAAGAUUUAAAGAUUAAGUUACUUUAGGGAUAACAGCGUUAUUUUUUCUGAGAGUUCUUAUCGAAGAAAAAGAUUGCGACCUCGAUGUUGAAUUAAAAAUUCUUUUUAAUGCAGCAGUUAAAAAAGAAAGUCUGUUCGACUUUUAAAUUUUUACA